RNAcentral lists this unclassified non-coding RNA (149 nucleotides) under uncultured Helotiales. RNAcentral describes it as "sequence contains ITS2". The record is from RNAcentral. Lineage: Eukaryota; Fungi; Ascomycota; Leotiomycetes; Helotiales.
CAACCCUCAAGCAUUGCUUGGUGUUGGGCGCCGCUGCUCACCCAGCGGGCCCUAAAAUCAGUGGCGGUGCCGUCGAGGCCUUGAGCGUAGUAAAUACCCUCGCUAUAAGGACUCGGUGGACGCUAGCCAGCAACCCCCAACUUCUAAGU